Molecule: ribosomal RNA, 460 nt
Filed under: uncultured bacterium
Lineage: Bacteria
Description: partial 16S ribosomal RNA
Rfam family: Bacterial small subunit ribosomal RNA
Source: RNAcentral
CCUACGGGAGGCCGCAGUGAGGAAUAUUGGUCAAUGGGCGAGAGCCUGAACCAGCCAAGUCGCGUGAAGGAUGACGGCCCUACGGGUUGUAAACUUCUUUUGUCAGGGAGCAAUUGGGUCCACGCGUGGGCUCAGCGAGAGUCCCUGAAGAAAAAGCAUCGGCUAACUCCGUGCCAGCGGCCGCGGUAUUACGGAGGAUGCGAGCGUUAUCCGGAUUUAUUGGGUUUAAGGGGUGCGUAGGCGGAAUAUCAAGUCAACGUGAAAAUUUCGGGGCUCAACCCCGUCGUGCCGUUGAAACUGAGGUUCUUGAGUGGGCGAGAAGUAUGCGGAAUGCGUGGUGGAGCGGUGAAAUGCAUAGAUAUCACGCAGAACUCCGAUUGCGAAGGCAGCAUACCGGCGCCCAACUGACGCUGAAGCACGAAAGCGUGGGUAUCGAACAGGAUUAGAUACCCCAGUAGUC